Molecule: small RNA, 108 nt
Filed under: Lutibacter agarilyticus
Lineage: Bacteria; Pseudomonadati; Bacteroidota; Flavobacteriia; Flavobacteriales; Flavobacteriaceae
Description: Lutibacter sp. KYW566 6S-Flavo RNA
Rfam family: 6S-Flavo RNA
Source: Rfam by way of RNAcentral
ACUCAACACUAUAUCUUUAUAAAGGAUGAGUCUUAAUUGUAAAAGCAAGCCGUCUUUGAACGGAUCCUUGAUCAAUUAGUUAAUCCUAAACUUGUUUAUAAGGAGUUU